CCUACGGGAGGCAGCAGUGGGGAAUAUUGCGCAAUGGGGGAAACCCUGACGCAGCAACGCCGCGUGGGUGAAGAAGGCCUUCGGGUCGUAAAGCCCUUUCGGACGGGACGAACGCUCCGCGGUGACAACCCGCGGAGCCUGACGGUACCGUAAGAAGAAGCACCGGCUAACUCCGUGCCAGCAGCCGCGGUAAUACGGAGGGUGCAAGCGUUGUUCGGAAUUACUGGGCGUAAAGCGCGUGUAGGCGGCCUUGCAAGCCAGACGUGAAAGCCCUCGGCUUAACCGGGGAAGUGCGUCUGGAACUGCUCGGCUCGAGUACGGGAGAGGGGGGCGGAAUUCCCAGUGUAGAGGUGAAAUUCGUAGAUAUUGGGAGGAACACCGGUGGCGAAAGCGGCCUCCUGGACCGAUACUGACGCUGAGACGCGAAAGCGUGGGGAGCAAACAGGAUUAGAUACCCUGGUAGUCCACGCGGUAAACGAUGGGCACUAGGUGUGGGGGGUAUCCACUCCUCCCGUGCCGCAGCUAACGCAUUAAGUGCCCCGCCUGGGGAGUACGGCCGCAAGGUUAAAACUCAAAGGAAUUGACGG
Molecule: ribosomal RNA, 587 nt
Filed under: uncultured bacterium
Lineage: Bacteria
Description: bacterial SSU rRNA
Rfam family: Bacterial small subunit ribosomal RNA
Source: RNAcentral